GGAAGCGUCGGCGCGGGAGCGGACUAUGACGGCGAGACUGGAGGCCCCGUCGGUUACCUCGCAUGGAAGAUGAUGGACUGUUUCUUGAUUCUUAGAAGUUGGAACCGCAUGCUGAAAGCAAGCUUAGAUUUCUAUGGUCCUGGAUUUUGACACCAUCUGUACUGGUGCGGCCAGGUCUGAUCCAUGACAAUGUAUCUGACAAGAUCACCUCCCAACCUGCUGAUGUGCAUGGGCAGCGAGGUCACCUUCUUUGAUUGCUGGAAUGGUUCAGCUCGGCGGAGGAUUCUUUGAUAGAAACAGGGGACAGCAGUGGAGCGUCAGGUAUAGAAACAUGGGUAAUUUUUCUUCGCCUAUCUCAUACUUACAGGGACCAAGAAUUAUUCAAAGGUGAUAUAUUUAUGGUGCAUUUCGUUUAACAUUACCUGAGUUGAUUCUGAAAAGAGCAAACAAAUUCCUUUUGUUGGAGCACUCUGCGUUGUGCAGUCAGUGUCGAGUCUGUGUCUUCUCUCUACGGGAUAUAUUCUCACAAGGACGCGGACAACAUGUAGCUGACUGGUUACUUUACAAAGUGCAAGUUUGCAUGGUUUCAUCCGUGGUUUGACGCUGGAAAUUCAGAGGUUAAGCGACGCCUCCAUACAGCUGGAGGUGUGGCUGUGUAUACUGGAAAGCGAAAAGCCAAUUUUAUUUGAGAAACUACAGUGAUACCUAAACAAACGAUUAAAAGAAGCAAUAGGAAUGCUUGUGUCGGUUUAUGCUAUGAAAAGAAGCCAUAUGAAUCUUCUCGAUUGUUUGUAUCCUAGAGAGCUGAAGAGGCUGCCGAGUAUUAUGCAAAAAAUAAAGAUGAAAUUGUACAGCCGAUACGACCAGCACGAAAACUUAAAAAUCAGUCAGCGAUGCUAGAUAUAGAUAAGAACAUGGUUUGUGGUACACCAACUAAUUGGGAGUCACCCAACCGUGCAUACCACCUGCAGCAACAGGUCAGACGCAGGAAAAUCCAGGAGGAAUGAGACAUGAUCUGAUAGCACAAACAAAUUUUAGGAAAGCAGGUUCACUAAACCAAAUAACUGGACAACAAGAAAUCCACAUUCAGUUGACAGAUAUACUUGCGGUUCUUCAUCUGGUCCAGCUGCACUUGUGUGGCUAUGCUCAGUAACAAUUGGGGCAGAUGGAGUAGGUUUGUAUUCAUAAAUCUGUCAGCUAUCUCUAGAUAUUACUUUUGUGUGGCACAGGUUUUGUUAGGAUUCAAUCUUCCGUCUGUGGCAUUGUUGGUUUCAAGGCAACAUUCGGAUGGACAUAUAUGAAUGGGUAACUAAGAAAUGUUCCGUCUCACAGGAUAUUUACCA
Lolium rigidum is the source of this 1343-nucleotide long non-coding RNA. RefSeq lists it as uncharacterized. NCBI's taxonomy places the organism in Eukaryota, Viridiplantae, Streptophyta, Magnoliopsida, Poales, Poaceae. The transcript has 7 exons. The record is from RefSeq and is a predicted model, not a curated record.